AAUCCCACUGCUAAAGGACAUAGGUCUUUCUUCAAACUAUAUUUUUGAGCGCGAUUCGCACUACGUCUGUCAGUGUCGAAUGCCUU
This 86-nucleotide small RNA is filed under the name Bombyx mori (domestic silkworm). Its description in RNAcentral is "Bm_151". Lineage: Eukaryota; Metazoa; Arthropoda; Insecta; Lepidoptera; Bombycidae. The record is from RNAcentral.